RNAcentral lists this long non-coding RNA (1654 nucleotides) under Homo sapiens (human). Its description in RNAcentral is "HSALNT0379907". The record is from RNAcentral. Lineage: Eukaryota; Metazoa; Chordata; Mammalia; Primates; Hominidae.
GGAAGUGUAGUCAGCACCUGGUGCAGUGGCAAGAAGAGAAAGGAAGUUCCCCAAGACAGAAACAUCUCAGCAGUGAGUUCCUGAUGAGGGAAGGGAAGUGAAUCCUAAGAACAAUCAUGUGAGUUUGGAAGGAGACCCUUCCCCAGCUGAGCCUCAGCCUGAGCCAUCACCUACAUCUAGACCGAAGACCCAGAGAAACCGUGAGUAAUAUGUGUGUGGUUCUGAGCCACUAAGGUACGUACUAAUUUGUUAUGCACCAAGUAGUAAGUAAUAUACUUGACAGUAAUUGUAAGGUGGUAUUCUGGAUUAGGUCCUGGAAUAGAUAAGUAUAUGAUUAUUAAAAAACCUGGUAAAAUAUGAAGGAAGUUUGUAGAUCAGUUAAUAAUCUCGAAAAACAGUUAAAUUCUUAGUUUUCAUGAAUAUGCUAUGGUUAUAAUAUAUAUUAACAUUCUAGUUAGCUGAAUGGUAUAUGAAACUGUCUGUACUUACCUAUGUGCAUUUAUGUAAAUCUGCAGUUAUUUCAAAAUAAAUAUGUUUUUUAAUAUUAUUAUUAUUUUUUUAAGAAAAGUAAGCAAGUAAAGACAUCAGCAAAAAACUUUUGCCUCCAGAUACAAGUGGGCAUGUAGGGAGAGAAUAGUAAACUGGCUUUUCUUUUCUAGGCAACAUUCGAAACCCAGGUGCCACUCCUUCAGGAAGGUACCAUCAAGCUCCAAGGACUCUUAUCCUCUUUCUCCUUCCCCACUACCUAGUCAUUAGAGCGUCAGCAUCCACUUCUUGAAAGGAAGAUGCCUGUUUUUCACAUAUCCCAGAAAACCCCAUUUUAGGACAGCAUUUAGCAGAGUAUAUUCAGGAUCCCACUAACCUUUUUGGAAGACAUGACUUCCAGAUGAUAUAAGGCAAGAAUAAGAAAUUUCAGUGACAGGGAACAGAAAUCAUAUUUCUGCAUUCAGGAUCAUGUUUUCUUGGUACGGGGAUUUCUUCUUCAAGUAACCCAAGGUCAACUUUACCUUCAAACCUUUCAGAAAACCUGUUCUAAUUUACUUUGCUUCUUUCUACAGGCUCCAUCAGGAACUGUGCAGGACUGUGCACUCUGUUGAUACUCACAUGGUGGAAUUAUAUUGCCUUUGGCCAACCCUAAAGCCAUCAAGAUAGCAGGUCUGGUCUACCGAGAAGAGAGAUCAAAGAGCUCUUCAGCUGUUCCCAGCUCCCCACACAAAUCUACCUAACAAAGUCCCGAUAAACAGUCUGUUUUCUGGAGUCUAUCAAUACUGAUGAGGUCUUGUUCUUUUGGCCAGGCUGGAGUGCAGUGGUACAGUCGUGACUCACUGCAGCUUCAAACACCUGGGUUCCAGCAUUCAUCCCACUUCAGCCUCCCGUGUAGCCGGGACUACAGAUUUGUCUUUCCUUUUGGCUGAGACCGUGGUAACCAAUAAACUCUUUACUUUCUCUAUCCUUGUGCCUUUUCUAGAGUGUCAUAUAUUAUGUUAAAAAAAAGUAUUUUGCUUUUUCCAAAUUGCUUUUUGGACUUACUCAUAUGCCUUUAGGAUUAGUAAAGGAUAUCUUAUGGUUGGGAUUUGCAUUUCCCUAAUGACAGAGGCAUUGAGCAUUUUUCCAUAUGCUUAUUAAACAUUACUAUAGCUUCUUUGGAGACAUG